GAGCAAAAUCGUAAAGCUUAACUUAGUAGUUUUAUUACCUUCAAGCUUUGAAAAGGAUUGAAGCCUUUGAACUCCAAUGUCACAGUAACACCAAAUCUAAUCAAAAUCAAAAUACAGUUAGUAGCAAACCAAAAUACAGUCAACAAUUGAACUAAUUUGAUAGUCGAGAUAUAUACUCAAAAGUCUAAAUUGUUAGAUUAAUCCUAUAAUGAUGUUUGCUUACAGAUAACAGAAAUAGAUCUCCUAUAGAAAUUACACAUUGCAAUUGUUGAGACCAUUAGAUUUACUAAUGUUAAUGCUCUAAUACCAAUUUCAAAUUUUAAAAUCCAAAAUCUGAUGCUAAGUCUUGCAUCUAUACCCUCAAUUUCCCCCAACAUAAUUCUAUCAAAAAAAGUAUGAGUGAAAAUAAUAAAAAUGAUUACAUGUUGCAGCUACAACAGUGAGAGUUAGGAUGUCACUUGCACUUGUACCACUCAUGGCAGAACCAAUAACACUACUAAGAUCUUCUUUCUUAUCUCCCAUUGCUUCAGCUACUAUCGCACGCUGAGCAGCAACCAAAGCA
RNAcentral lists this long non-coding RNA (562 nucleotides) under Cicer arietinum (chickpea). Its description in RNAcentral is "long non-coding RNA (CARI_LNC002066)". Lineage: Eukaryota; Viridiplantae; Streptophyta; Magnoliopsida; Fabales; Fabaceae. The record is from RNAcentral.